Non-coding RNA from Schistosoma rodhaini, 45 nucleotides. The record is from Rfam. Lineage: Eukaryota; Metazoa; Platyhelminthes; Trematoda; Strigeidida; Schistosomatidae.
AUCCAGCUGACGAGUCCUUAAUAGGACUAAUCGCGAGUCCUGGAU